UACGAAGGGGGCUAGCGUUGUUCGGAUUUACUGGGCGUAAAGCGCGCGUAGGCGGCCUCAUAAGUCCGUUGUGAAAGUCAAAGGCUCAACCUUUGAAAGCCGAUGGAUACUGUGAGGCUAGAGUCCGGGAGAGGCGAGUGGAAUUCCUGGUGUAGCGGUGGAAUGCGCAGAUAUCAGGAGGAACACCAAUAGCGAAGGCAGCUCGCUGGGACGGUACUGACGCUAAGGCGCGAAAGCGUGGGGAGCGAACAGG
Molecule: ribosomal RNA, 253 nt
Filed under: uncultured bacterium
Lineage: Bacteria
Description: partial 16S ribosomal RNA
Rfam family: Bacterial small subunit ribosomal RNA
Source: RNAcentral